UUGGAGGGCAAGUCUGGUGCCAGCAGCCGCGGUAAUUCCAGCUCCAAUAGCGUAUAUUAAAGUUGUUGCAGUUAAAAAGCUCGUAGUUGAAUUUCGGGGUUAGUAGGUUGGUCAUGCCUCUGGUAUGUACUGGUCUCACUGAUUCCUCCUUCCUGGUGAACCUUAAUGCCAUUAAUUUGGUGCUUUGGGGAAUUUGGACUGUUACUUUGAAAAAAUUAGAGUGUUUAAAGCAAGCUAACGCUUGAAUACAUUAGCAUGGAAUAAUGAAAUAGGACGUUCGAUCCUAUUUUGUUGGUUUCUAGGAUUGACGUAAUGAUUAAUAGGGAUAGUUGGGGGCAUUAGUAUUCAAUUGUCAGAGGUGAAAUUCUUGGAUUUAUUGAGGACUAACUACUGCGAAAGCAUUUGCCAAGGGUGUUUUCAUUAAUCAAGAACGAAAGUUAGGGGAUCGAAGACGAUCAGAUACCGUCGUAGUCUUAACCAUAAACUAUGCCGACUAGGAAUCGGAUGAUGUUAAUUUUUUAAUGACUCAUUCGGCGCCUUACGGGAAAC
This 549-nucleotide ribosomal RNA is filed under the name uncultured Glomeraceae. Its description in RNAcentral is "SSU rRNA". It matches the Rfam family "Eukaryotic small subunit ribosomal RNA", at positions 548 to 1098 of the family's 1831-position model. Lineage: Eukaryota; Fungi; Glomeromycota; Glomeromycetes; Glomerales; Glomeraceae. The record is from RNAcentral.